Long non-coding RNA from Mesocricetus auratus (golden hamster), 1282 nucleotides. RefSeq lists it as uncharacterized. Lineage: Eukaryota; Metazoa; Chordata; Mammalia; Rodentia; Cricetidae. The record is from RefSeq and is a predicted model, not a curated record. The transcript is spliced from 3 exons.
GGGAAAGCUAGCCUCCUCUGCCCGCCCCUCCUGCUAGGCUAGGAAUUGGUGAGUUCUGGGUGGUGUGAACCCAGUGCCCCGGACCUCAAGACUCAGCUGCUGCUUUUUGUGACUGCAGAGAACAAGGAACCAGGAUUAACCUGAGAAACCGGUCCAUGAAAUGAUGUCACCACAUGCAGAGCGUGGCUCCCCCAUUCCGUUGAACUUUUCUGGAAACUAUCGUAGAUGCAUCCAGAGGUGUGUUUGCAUGGAUCUGGCUCACUGCAGGAGCAGGCCGAGGCCAAAGUGGCAGCCCCUCCAAGACAGUCCUCUUCCAGAAGUCCAGAGGAGGUGGAGAAUUAACAGGACUGCCUGAAGCAGCAGGUCUCAACUUUCCGGUCCCAACCCCUUUGGACUGCCCCUUCUUUCACGGGGGUCACCUAAGACCAUCAGAAAGCACAGAUCUUUACAUUACAAUUCAUUAACAGUAGCAAAAUUACAGUUAUGAAGUAGCAAUGAAAGUAAUCAUAUGCCUGGGAGGGGGUGGUCACCACAACAUGAGGAGUUGUACUGAAGGGUCUUAGCAUUAGGAAGGUUGGGAACCACUGCUCCAAAGCAAUCUGAAAUUGAAGCCGGGUGUAGAAAUGCAUGAUGGGAAACAGACAGGAAAGUUUGGAGUUCCUGCAGUGAGGAGAGAAGGGGUGCUUUGUGCUUCUGCUAGCCAGCUCUUUGGGGUGACUUAGACGAGAAUCCUUUUAUUAAGUCCCCCUCCACAAGCCUCCCUGCUCCAGAGCCCACUUUCCUUUUAGGGCUGGAGGUAUAGCUCAGCAGUAGAGGCCUUAUAUGGUACCUACAGAGCCCUGAGUUUGACCUCUCCUAGCAUGGCAAAAAUAAAUAAGUGAAUGAACACAUCAACCAUACACUCUUUUGUACAUGUCAAUACUAGUAUGAGUGAAAGGUAACUGCGCCCCCUAUAGGUAGGUCCUAGGCCUGGCAUACUUACCAGCCACCUGAGGACAUUUGCCCAUCAUCCUUGUCCCUCCCACCUAAAGCAAGCCUUCUCCUUCUCUAUAUUAAUUUUUUCACCUUCAUUCUGGUAAUUAGGGCAUCCAGCAUCCACUGAGUAGAAUAAUUCAGCGAAAAUAGGAAGUAGGGGAUAAUAGGGCUGAGUCAGAGACCUCUCAGCUUCCCAGACCUACAACACUUUUGUUUGAGGAAGGGGCAUUGAGACUGGGUUCUCUAUGUAGCCCUGGCUGUCCUGGAACUCUCUGUGUAGACUAGAUUGGCCUUGAACUCAGAGAUC